This is a long non-coding RNA of Schistocerca gregaria, 537 nucleotides long. RefSeq lists it as uncharacterized. The record is from RefSeq and is a predicted model, not a curated record. The transcript is spliced from 3 exons. NCBI's taxonomy places the organism in Eukaryota, Metazoa, Arthropoda, Insecta, Orthoptera, Acrididae.
CCUCCAGUGAGUCUAAGGCGGCUGUUACUUGCAUAGUAGUGUACUCCGGCUUGCCACUGCCGAGGCAUGGCUGUCUCGAAGGAUCUAAGAGCAGGUUUUUCCUGGGUGAAAUCUGGAAGCGAGGAAUGUGCCGGACAUACCUUAUUUGGACAACAAGUAAGCGCUUAUCAUCCACUCCGAAAAAUGUGGUGAUAACGUUACGAAAGUGGUUCAGCGUCUGCACAGAGUGCUGGGGCCCAACCUUAUCAACAGCGACACUGUUUUCCAAUUACAGAUCGGCUAAUUUGUUCCUUAGACGGAAAUGUGACAUACGGGAGACUCAUCAGCUUUGAGUUGUGUGGUGGGUCAUAAUGCAAGAUUUAAUGCCGCUUGGUGACGAUGCAGGCACAACACUAUGUACAGCAGACACAGACGGAUGAUCACCCUAUCGAAGAUAUGUUCUGCAAAUGGCGAAAUCGAGAUAAUUGACUAUGACAAAGAGCAGACCCUGUCAGCGAGUACCUCGAAAACGGCGAAGCUGAACUAAAGUUCACGUGC